CCGCCUCAUUCGUCAAGCUUCCGGCGUCUGAGUCUCCAGGGCAACCGUCAGACUGACGGCCUAGGAAAGCGAGGCCCAGAAACUUCUGGGUGUCGCGGACUCAAAGGAGCAGAGAAACGGGAGGCGCCUGGGAGUGAGAAAAGUCUCCGACGCAGGCGUCCCUGGCUCCGCUUGCCAGUUUGCUCCGCAUUGGUUGGAAACAGACUUUACGUGUCACGCCUGCCUUCUGCCAAAGGAGCAUCCCACCUCCCCCUACCUGCUCUGGCCCUUGAGGACAGAAUAGGCAAUAUCUAAUGGAGGACCAGGGGAAAAUGAUCGAAUGAAGCCAUCAUAUGUGCAUUCUAGACCUCCACCACCAGAGCUCGACCCCUCUACGUCAAGACCUGGCUCCAAGGAGUAACACCUGGGCCCUUGUCUUUGCUCUAACCAGUUUCUGGAUGCCUGAGAGGACUCACAGUCCAGACCACAAUCCUCAGUAAAAGCCCCUGGACCUCCGGCAAAACCGAGGCUCUCUCCUUUCCUGAGUCUCCUGGACGCUGUCUAUACCUGCACUCUCUCUGUACCUUCAAUAAACUCUGCUCUCACAGCC
Molecule: long non-coding RNA, 589 nt
Organism: Hyaena hyaena (striped hyena)
Lineage: Eukaryota; Metazoa; Chordata; Mammalia; Carnivora; Hyaenidae
Exons: 3
Source: RefSeq, a predicted model, not a curated record